AUGGCGUGCCUCGCCACACCAACGCCGGGUGGCUCCUCUGCCCACCGGCUCUGGCAUCCCACUCGCUGUGUUCGCUCCUCUCGCGAGCACGCCCGCGCCGGCUGCACCUGGGGCGCUCUCCCGCUCCGCCCCGCGCCGUCUCCCCGCACAUCCAUGUGUGCCCCGACACGGGUUGGCUCCCCUGCUUUGGCCGCCAAGACACCCAAGAUCGCCUGCACGGACCUACCUCGACCGGCUGCCCGUCCGCCUCGUCGCCGCUCCGAACCGCGCCCCCGGGCCCGGCCUCCCCCUGCGCCUGCCGGCUCCCGCAGGCCGGCUUCACCUCGCCUCGGCCGCCUUCGCGCCAACCCGGCACCCGUUCCGGGCCUCCUCGGCCGCGUAGUCAUGCGCGGGCCCGGCGCCUGCUUCCUCGCCGCCUGCAGCCCCCGCGCGCCCGCUGGCUCGCCGUCGCCGCGCCUGUCCGGCUUGUCGCUGGCCGAGUCCUCUGCACCGGCUCCAGCACGCGCCGGGUCCUCCUCCCCGGCUGAUUGUGCGUCGAGUCCUCAACUCCGGCUCGCCGCAAGCCGGUCCGCCCGCUCGUCGGGUGCGCCGUCCCACGGCCCAGACUCCGCGCGUCUGCGCCCCCGCGUCAAGCGGCCACCUCCACGCAACUCCCGGCCAUGUCCAACGCUGCACCCAUCCGCCGGCCGACUCCCGCAGCACCCGGCCGUCGGGUCGCCGGCGUCUGUCCACGCGCCGCUCCAGCUCGUGUGGCCCCUCCCACCCGGCCGCGCCCGGAUCCCGGGUCGCCGCGUGCCCGCUGGCCGGCUGCUCGGGCUCGCCUCGCCCCGCGCCGCCUGCGUCGGUCCUUUGCUCGACCCCUCGGCCGGCUUCGCCAGCGCCCGGCCGCCGGGUCACCGACGCCUCGUCUCCACUCCUCCACCCGGCGCCGCCUCCCCUGGCCGGCUCCGCCACCCAGCCGCCGGCUCCCGGCUUCCGCGCGCCUUGGCCGGCUUCCGCCACCCGGCCGUGGCUCUUUUCGUCAACACGGCGACCCGGCCUGCCGGCUUUGCCCACGCCGGCUCCUCCUCCCGUGACCCGGCCUGCCGGCUUCGCCCGCGCCGGCUCCGUCGGCCGCAACACGGUCGGCCCUGCCGCCUGCCGCCUUCGUGCGUGUCCGGGCCGGUUUCCGCUGCUCGGCAGUUGUUGCCGGCUAAGAAAAGGGAAGGCAAGAAAAAAAAUGUGCCCAAGCCGGCUGAGAAAGAAUAA
RNAcentral lists this ribosomal RNA (1248 nucleotides) under Triticum aestivum (bread wheat). RNAcentral's name for it is "partial small subunit ribosomal RNA". Lineage: Eukaryota; Viridiplantae; Streptophyta; Magnoliopsida; Poales; Poaceae. The record is from RNAcentral.